UCCUAUUGUACCGCAGCUGCUGAACACUGCCCAAGAUUGGCGUGAACAAUUCUAACGGAAGGCAACUCUUGUGCGUGUGACAGCGGCUAUGGUAUUCAGGAAAUAUCUUC
Molecule: microRNA precursor, 110 nt
Filed under: Daphnia magna
Lineage: Eukaryota; Metazoa; Arthropoda; Branchiopoda; Diplostraca; Daphniidae
Description: mir-210 microRNA precursor family
Rfam family: mir-210 microRNA precursor family
Source: Rfam by way of RNAcentral